CAGUAAUUUUAUUUGAGAAAAAAACCAUAUUAAACCAUCAAAUAAAUUUUACAAUGCCUAAGUGUUAAAAUCAAAGGUCGACCAAUCAUAUUUUAUAUAUUUUAAAAGACUUUAAAUAUAAAAUUGAUUGUUUAUCAGAUUAUAAAUAUAGUAUUGAAGUUAGAUAUUAAAAUUAAAGUAAAAACGUAUAACACUUUUCUUAACUAUGAACUAUUUUCAAUCAGUCAUCCAACCUUUUUAAAUUUUAUUUUUACCGUCCAACCUUUUUACAAAGUAGAUUUGAGUGAAUUAAUAAAUUAUGAUUUCAAAAUUUAAAUGCAUCGUUUUGAUUUACGAAUUUAGUUAAUAUGCUUCAUGUAAUUCCUGCAAAUAAAUUUAUUUAAAAAUAAUAAUAAUUUAAACUCUAUCAAUUUUUUUUUUCUUAUUGUAUAAUCUAUACAUAAGUGAUCAAUAUUAUAAAAUUAAAAUUUAUAUUUAAUAUAUAAAAUCUAAAAUAUUAAAAACCUAUAGAUAAAACUUUAUAUAUUUUAAAUUUUUAUAAUGAGAGAUUGAAAAUUAAAUUGGAUUAAAAAAAUUCAAUUUCUUCAAUCCAAAUUAAUGCAAAAUAAAAAAAAAAAUUUAAAAAUGGCUAUCCAACCCCGUAAUAUUGGUUGUGAAUUGAUGUAUUGGCGGCGGCAUUCGUAAGUCACCACCAUUGUUUAUAUAUUGGCGGCGACAUUUAUAUGUCGCCACCAUUGUUUACGUAUUGGCGGCGACAUUUAUAUAUCGCCACCAUUGUUUACGUAUUGGCGGCUUCAUUUAUUUGUCGUCACGAUUGUUUAAGUAUUGGCGGCGACAUUUACUUGUCGCCACUAUUGUUUACGUAUUGGCGGCGACAUUUACUUGUCGCCACCAUUGUUUACGUAUUGGCGGCGACAUUUACUUGUCGCCACCAUUGUUUACGUAUUGGCGGCGACAUUUAUUUGUCGCCACCAUAUCUUCUACAUAGGUGGCGACAUUACUUGUCGCCACAAAAAAGUCGCCGCCAAAACACGUUUUUCUUGUAGU
Molecule: long non-coding RNA, 1047 nt
Filed under: Ananas comosus (pineapple)
Lineage: Eukaryota; Viridiplantae; Streptophyta; Magnoliopsida; Poales; Bromeliaceae
Description: long non-coding RNA (ACOM_LNC013421)
Source: RNAcentral